Microtus oregoni (creeping vole) is the source of this 338-nucleotide long non-coding RNA. RefSeq lists it as uncharacterized. Lineage: Eukaryota; Metazoa; Chordata; Mammalia; Rodentia; Cricetidae. The record is from RefSeq and is a predicted model, not a curated record. The transcript is spliced from 2 exons.
CAUUGAAUGCUUCUUUGUCCUGGCUGUUGGGAGCUUCUUCCCUGGUUCAGUCGUCAAGCAGUGAUAAUGAAAGAAACCACAGCAGCAUCAAUAUCCCAGUACGAGGAAGUGUACCAGAAAGCAGCUUAAACCAGAACAUUGCUGAACUAUACUCCAAUAUCCCCGAGUUCUCACACGAGGACUAUGCACUGUGCCAAGGCCAAGGUCCUUACUCCCACAUUAACCAGAUCUUGAAGGAGGCCCAUUUCUACAGCCUACAGCAGAGAGGACAGUCACCGACGUGAUGACCUGGGUGCUCCUCCUCCCUUGUUUAUAAAAAGCAAUGACAUUCCCACAAA